RNAcentral lists this ribosomal RNA (440 nucleotides) under uncultured bacterium. RNAcentral's name for it is "partial 16S ribosomal RNA". It matches the Rfam family "Bacterial small subunit ribosomal RNA", at positions 338 to 795 of the family's 1533-position model. The record is from RNAcentral.
CCUACGGGGUGCUGCAGUGAGGAAUAUUGAGCAAUGGGCGCAAGCCUGACUCAGCAACGCCGCGUGGAUGAUGACGGCCUUCGGGUUGUAAAAUCCUUUUCUGAGGGAAGAUAAUGACGGUACCUCAGGAAUAAGUUCCGGCUAACUACGUGCCAGCAGCCGCGGUAAAACGUAGGGGACAAGCGUUAUCCGGAUUUACUGGGCGUAAAGCGCAUGUAGGUGGCUUGACAAGUUGGACGUGAAAGCUCCCGGCUUAACUGGGAGAGGUCGUUCAAAACUGGCAAGCUUGAGGUUGGAAGAGGAGAGCAGAAUUCCCGGUGUAGUGGUGGAAUGCGUAGAUAUCGGGAGGAAUACCAGUGGCGAAAGCGGCUCUCUGGUUCAAUACUGACACUGAGAUGCGAAAGCGUGGGGAGCGAACGGGAUUAGAUACCCCGGUAGUC